RNAcentral lists this long non-coding RNA (175 nucleotides) under Dasypus novemcinctus (nine-banded armadillo). Its description in RNAcentral is "lncRNA (ENSDNOG00000050797.1)". The record is from RNAcentral. Lineage: Eukaryota; Metazoa; Chordata; Mammalia; Cingulata; Dasypodidae.
CACCACCAUGCAACCAUUCUCACUUCAGAGUUCUCUACUGUGGGAUAAUGCUCCAGGGAGCAUUAUCGAAAUGGAAAAUGAACCGCCACUCUGUAAAUAACUGGAAUACUCCAAUAUUUCUCAAGAUGGGACUCUCUGGAACUAAAAGAGAAGCUCAAUUUUCCUGGCCGGGCCA